This 156-nucleotide ribosomal RNA is filed under the name uncultured bacterium. Its description in RNAcentral is "partial 16S ribosomal RNA". It matches the Rfam family "Bacterial small subunit ribosomal RNA", at positions 1351 to 1500 of the family's 1533-position model. The record is from RNAcentral.
AGAAUGUCGCGGUGAAUACGUUCCCGGGCCUUGUACACACCGCCCGUCACACCAUGAGAGUCGAUAACACCCGAAGCCUGUGAGCUAACCGUAAGGAGGCAGCAGUCGAAGGGUGGGGGGUUUGAUGAUUUGGGGGUGAAGUCGUAACAAGGUAAC